Molecule: ribosomal RNA, 465 nt
Filed under: uncultured bacterium
Lineage: Bacteria
Description: bacterial SSU rRNA
Rfam family: Bacterial small subunit ribosomal RNA
Source: RNAcentral
CCUACGGGAUGCACCAGUGGGGAAUAUUGCACAAUGGGCGCAAGCCUGAUGCAGCCAUGCCGCGUGUAUGAAGAAGGCCUUCGGGUUGUAAAGUACUUUCAGCGGGGAGGAAGGCGAUAAGGUUAAUAACCUUGUCGAUUGACGUUACCCGCAGAAGAAGCACCGGCUAACUCCGUGCCAGCAGCCGCGGUAAUACGGAGGGUGCAAGCGUUAAUCGGAAUUACUGGGCGUAAAGCGCACGCAGGCGGUCUGUCAAGUCGGAUGUGAAAUCCCCGGGCUCAACCUGGGAACUGCAUUCGAAACUGGCAGGCUAGAGUCUUGUAGAGGGGGGUAGAAUUCCAGGUGUAGCGGUGAAAUGCGUAGAGAUCUGGAGGAAUACCGGUGGCGAAGGCGGCCCCCUGGACAAAGACUGACGCUCAGGUGCGAAAGCGUGGGGAGCAAACAGGAUUAGAUACCCGUGUAGUC